Gavialis gangeticus (Gharial) is the source of this 814-nucleotide long non-coding RNA. RefSeq lists it as uncharacterized. The transcript is spliced from 3 exons. The record is from RefSeq and is a predicted model, not a curated record. Lineage: Eukaryota; Metazoa; Chordata; Crocodylia; Gavialidae.
AACAGAGAUUUUGGAAAAGAGUGGGAACAAGCUAGGGAAAACUUGUUUAAGUUUGCUUUCUUUUUUUCAGUUUUAGGCCUGCCAAAUCCAUGACGCAAGGGGGAAACGUAUUCUUGUGGCAACUGAAGGAGCAUCAGAAGCCUGAUUCAGGCCCUUCCCUGCAUUUAGGCAGGUUCUCACUGUUUUCCAAAUACACCCUCAAACUGGCAUGACCUGAUAUCUGAAGAUCACCCUUGCAUAGUCUACCUCCUGCCAUACUCUUUAGAUUCAUCCCUGGGAAGAGACCUGUGAACAAGGGAGGCCUAUAAACUGCUUAGAACCUCACAAUAAGUAAGAAUUAACUAGAGCAUAAGCUUUGUGCCACUUCUCUGUACACGCUGAAUCGCCCUGUACCUGAUGAUUAGCACAGAACUCAUAGCAGGGGCCCAACCACUACAGCAGCAGAUGAGUCACAAAAGCACUACUCUUAAAAAUCUGGCCCCCAGAAAUUAAAGCGCUCAAAAUCCAAAGCCACUUACGAAGUGCUGGCAUCAAUAGGCUGUCAUGUACCACCAUUCAGGGAGUCUAAAAAUACCACAAGACACAGUGUUCACAUAAGACUUCUGCUAUCGAUGUCACUUCAUAGAGUUAAUAACAGUGGGAAAGAAAGUCCUGCAGCUGUAAGUGUAUCUUGACCCACAUACCAUCAAAGGUGGCUAGUGGAAGAACCAGCCAGGAUUGGAGAUGGGCAGACCUCUGCCUCAAAUGAGCACCCAGAAGUUUUAGGGCACAGACAGAAGUUACAUUUGUCAUGUGAUUGGCCCCCUAAAAGUGC